AUGGAAGCAGCUCAUUGCAAACUUAUUUCUUUAGUCUAUGUGCAUUAUACCCUGCGACUAUCCAGACUGUGCAGAUCACAGCCAGUUAUUUUACAACAACCCUCUCAACCAGGGGACUCCCACACCUGCUGGCGCUUGGUCCACCUGAGCGCUCAACUCGAGAAUCUCACCAGGUUUCAGGAGGUCAGGAGGUGUGGGCCGAGUCUGCUCCAGCUGUGGCGCCAGAGGAGGGAAGCUGUCCGCGCAGCUCUGACAGGUGUCACUUCAUCUCGAGUGACGCGAGUUUCAGAGCUCCGCAACCCACGGUCAGUAAUCUCCCUGCCUAUAAAAAGAGCCGUCAGCAAGGUUUCAAGAAACACCUACAAUUACUCAUCGCCGUGUUGCAACAGCUGCUGUAACUGUAAUGUGUCUGUAUUUGUUUUAUUGUUCACAUUCCAACACUUCCAGACUUGCGUACCGUCCACAGAGCUCACUUUCAAGGUGUCAGAUUUCUUUGGCACAAGGGGAGUCUUUGAGGGUGUCAUCUGUUGGGUUACACGCAGGUCCUGUGUUCACACCCACUACAGAUACUUCAGUCCCACAAACACUGUAAAUACAGCACUGUGUAUCAGUCACAACAGAAUGUGUCAGCGUCUCUUGGGAGGCUCAACCAGAAAUGGCACUAAGUAGCCUGCAGUCCACAUUACAGCUCGAACCCGGGCCCUGAACUGUGGCCAGUCGUACCCUGGGCAGAUUAUCCGUCCAUCAAAACAAACUCGUCCUGAGCCUCCGUCGAAGCGGACCGCGGACCUUUCCACGCAAAGAGGUGGCAGUAACCAAAUGAACGAAGAAUCUCAUCCAGCUGUUCAGGGAAAACAGAAUGAGAUACAAACCGAUCGACGGGCCUGAUGGGCCUGUGACCUCCUCUCGCUUGUAGCUGUGCUCUCGUUAAAGUGACCGAGACAGGCACGGUCACAGCCGGUCUGUUCUUCAGGCACGGUCACAGCCGGUCUGUUCUUCAGGCACGGUCACAGUCGGUCUGUUCUACAGGCACGGUCACAGCCGGUCUGUUCUACAGGCACGGUCACAGCCGGUCUGUUCUUCAGGCACGGUCACAGCCGGUCUGUUCUACAGGCACGGUCACAGCCGGUCUGUUCUACAGGCACGGUCACAGUCGGUCUGUUCUACAGGCACGGUCACAGUCGGUCUGUUCUACAGGCACAGUCACAGUCGGUCUGUUCUACAGGCACGGUCAGCCUUCCGGCCACGUGAUGGCAGGGAUUCUGCUGGAGAUCCCAGAGAGAAUGCCGGCUUCCCGCGGGCCCGAAGAAAAGCACGGACAGGUCCGUAUGGGGCGCUCCAGAGCGCCACGGGCUUGGAGGAACGCGCAAGAAAUGGAAACCCUCUCCCGGCGCCUGCAGACAGGCGCGGCUGCCAGCAGGGGUGUUGGGGGUCACUCCUGCCCUCAGGGCAGCAAUCAGCUCCAAGAACAUCAACACCGCUAAUGAUGGGAAUGAAAAGUUCUGUUUGGAUGGGGGGGUUGUACCAUGACGAUGAAGAUUUUAAGUCUUGAAUUUAAAUUCUGUAAUUUAAUCGGUUGGUAACCGAUUGAUGCUCAUUACGUUUUCAUGUGUUGUUACAACACCAUUCAU
This 1631-nucleotide long non-coding RNA is filed under the name Lepisosteus oculatus (spotted gar). RNAcentral's name for it is "lncRNA (ENSLOCG00000022048.1)". Lineage: Eukaryota; Metazoa; Chordata; Actinopteri; Semionotiformes; Lepisosteidae. The record is from RNAcentral.